GGGCAGCAGGCAGUGAUGCCCAGGCCAGCACCCAGGGUUUUUGUGGGGUGGGCACAGAGACUCCACCAUUGUGAUUACUACGGUUUUGAUGUCUGGGGCCCAGGGCUCAAGGUCACUGUCUCUACAGGGAAAGAAUCUGACCCAACUCUCUUCCCCCUGGUCUCCUGUGAGAGCAGCCUGUCCACAGACAGCUUGUUGGCCAUGGGCUGCCUUGCCCAGGACUUCUUGCCUAGCAGCAUCAGCUUCUCCUGGAAAUACCAGAACAACACCUCGGUUAGCAACCAGAAUUUCAUUACCUUCUCACCAAUCCUGAGAGAUGGCAAGUACAUGGCCUCCUCUCACUUGCUGCUCCCCUCUGAAAGCAUCAUCCCAGACACAGAUGAGUACCUGGUGUGCCAGGUUGAACACAAAAAUCAAACGACCCUGAAUGUGCCUGUGAAAGGCCUGCUGCCUGUGGGACAGUCCCCCAGUGUGACCGUGUACAUCCCGCCCAGGGACGCCUUCUACAGCUCCAACCAGCGCAUGUCCAACCUCAUCUGCCAGGCCACAGAAUUUAGCUCCAAGAAGAUCUCUGUGUCCUGGCUGCGUGAUGGCAAGCUGAUAGAGCCAGGCUUCCCCCAGGGCAAGGUUGAGCCCGAAGCCAAAAGGACUGUGCCAGUCACUUACCAGGUCACCAGCAUGCUGCCCAUCAGCGAGAGUGACUGGCUCAGCCAGAGCGUGUUCACCUGCCACGUAGAGUACAAUGGGAUAAACAUCUUAAGGAAUGUGUCCUCCAUCUGUGGCACCAGUUCAUCCCCAGGAAUCAAAGUCUUCCCCAUCCCCCUCUCCUUUGUUGACAUCUUUCUCAACAAAACUGCCAAGGCCAAGCUCUCCUGUAUAGUCACAGAUGUGACCAACUAUGAAAGCCUGACCAUCUCCUGGACCCAUCAGAAUGGCGAGGUUCUGGAAACCCAAAUGAGCAACCCAAAAAGAUUCCCCAAUGGCACCUACAGUGCCAGGGGUGAGGCCACCAUCUGCAAAGAGGACUGGGAGAGUGGGGAUGAGUUCACAUGCAUUGUGACUCACACGGACCUCCCCUCCCCAGUCAAGCGCACCAUCUCCAAGCCCAAGGGGGUGGCCAAGCAAGAACCAGCCGUCUACUUGUUGCCACCCACCCGAGAGCAGCUGAGCCUGCGGCACUCGGCCUCUGUCACCUGCCUGGUGAAGGACUUCUCCCCUCCAGACCUGUUUCUGCAGUGGCUACACAAGGGGAAGCCUGUGCCCAGAGACCAGUAUGUGACCAGUGCCCCGAUGCCUGAGCCCCAGAACAAGGGCCACUACUUUGCCUACAGCAUCCUGACUGUGUCUGAGAAGAACUGGAGCAAUGGAGACACCUACACCUGCAUUGUGGGGCAUGAGGCCCUGAGGCACACUGUGACUGAGAGGACCGUGGACAAGUCCACUGAGGGGGAGGUGAAUGCUGAAGAGGAAGGGUUUGAGAACCAGUGGACCACAGCCUCCACCUUCAUAGUCCUCUUCAUCCUGAGCCUCUUCUAUAGCACAACAGUCACCCUGUUCAAGGUGAAAUGAUCCAUCAAUGGAAGGACUUCCAAGACCAAAGAGACAGCCAAAGGGGACCUUCCUUGGGGCUUGGGUAUUGCCCAAGGCUUAUGUUACAUUUUGGCUUGAAAUCUUCCCUCAUGUCCUCUUCCAGCCUUGAACCUUAAGAAACAGGCUUCUCCCUAGAUACAACCAAAUGCCUAUUCAUUAUGUGUGGAAACUAAAGCUGUGGACUUCUUCUCUGUGUGUGCUUAUUGCCUCAAAAUAAAUAUGUGUAUUUUAUCUUCUUAAA
This is a non-coding RNA of Choloepus didactylus (southern two-toed sloth), 1831 nucleotides long. Lineage: Eukaryota; Metazoa; Chordata; Mammalia; Pilosa; Megalonychidae. The record is from the annotation of a RefSeq genome assembly.